This 286-nucleotide unclassified non-coding RNA is filed under the name Hevea brasiliensis (rubber tree). Lineage: Eukaryota; Viridiplantae; Streptophyta; Magnoliopsida; Malpighiales; Euphorbiaceae. The record is from RNAcentral.
CAACAAGAUAGAAUGAUUUCAAUCUGCUUACCUGAGCAUUGUUUUCCACAAUGCUUCCUGAAAAUGGACUCAUUUGACACCACUCAAAGGAGAAUUAAUUAUCUUAGUUACAACAUCCAAUAAAUAUAGAUGCCAUCGAUAAUACAACCAUACAAAUAUGAUAGUAAAUAAAUACAUGCAACAAAAGGCAAUUCAAAGAAAGAAGCAAUAAAAUAUAUUAUUUGUCAAUAAUGAGCCAGCAUAAGCAACUUUAUGAGCAGGGCUAGGAGGCCUUACAAUCCAAUGG